GGGCCUGUAGCUCAGUUGGUCAGAGCACUCGACUCAUAAUCGAAUGGUCGUAGGUUCAAGUCCUACCAGGCCCA
Molecule: transfer RNA, 74 nt
Filed under: Endomicrobium sp.
Lineage: Bacteria; Pseudomonadati; Elusimicrobiota; Endomicrobiia; Endomicrobiales; Endomicrobiaceae
Also listed under: 2 other names
Description: tRNA-Ile
Rfam family: tRNA
About the family: Transfer RNA (tRNA) molecules are approximately 80 nucleotides in length.
Source: RNAcentral